UACGUAGGGUGCGAGCGUUGUCCGGAAUUAUUGGGCGUAAAGAGCUCGUAGGCGGUCUGUCGCGUCUGCUGUGAGAUCCCGAGGCUCAACCUCGGGCUUGCAGUGGGUACGGGCAGGCUAGAGUGCGGUAGGGGAGAAUGGAACUCCUGGUGUAGCGGUGGAAUGCGCAGAUAUCAGGAAGAACACCGAUGGCGAAGGCAGUUCUCUGGGCCGUAACUGACGCUGAGGAGCGAAAGCGUGGGGAGCGAACAGG
This 253-nucleotide ribosomal RNA is filed under the name uncultured bacterium. RNAcentral's name for it is "partial 16S ribosomal RNA". It matches the Rfam family "Bacterial small subunit ribosomal RNA", at positions 524 to 776 of the family's 1533-position model. The record is from RNAcentral.